GUGAAUCAUCGAAUUUUUGAACGCAAAUUGCACUCUCCUCGGAGAGUAUGCCUGUUUGAGGGUCAGCCUAUAAAAAAUCGACGUCGUUGCUGUUUCGCGGCGGCGUUCGUCGGAAAUUGGGUCAUCUUAAAUCCUUUUGAUUUUUGCGAGACAAAAAUUUUUUUUUGUUUUACGAUGGAUUCUAAG
RNAcentral lists this unclassified non-coding RNA (186 nucleotides) under Glomus sp. RNAcentral's name for it is "partial contains 5.8S ribosomal RNA and internal transcribed spacer 2". The stretch from base 1 to 65 matches the Rfam family "5.8S ribosomal RNA", at positions 84 to 154 of the family's 154-position model. Lineage: Eukaryota; Fungi; Glomeromycota; Glomeromycetes; Glomerales; Glomeraceae. The record is from RNAcentral.